AGAACGAACGCUGGCGGCAUGCCUAAUACAUGCAAGUCGAACGAACUCUUCGGAGUUAGUGGCGCACGGGUGCGUAACGCGUGGGAAUCUGCCCCUUGGUUCGGAAUAACAGUUGGAAACGACUGCUAAUACCGGAUGAUGACGAAAGUCCAAAGAUUUAUCGCCAAGGGAUGAGCCCGCGUAGGAUUAGCUAGUUGGUGAGGUAAGGCUCACCAAGGCGACGAUCCUUAGCUGGUCUGAGAGGAUGAUCAGCCACACUGGGACUGAGACACGGCCCAGACUCCUACGGGAGCAGCGUAGGAAGAUUGUAGAAUGGACGAAGGACUCGAUCACG
RNAcentral lists this ribosomal RNA (334 nucleotides) under uncultured soil bacterium. RNAcentral's name for it is "bacterial SSU rRNA". It matches the Rfam family "Bacterial small subunit ribosomal RNA", at positions 26 to 393 of the family's 1533-position model. The record is from RNAcentral.